Molecule: long non-coding RNA, 841 nt
Filed under: Mus musculus (house mouse)
Lineage: Eukaryota; Metazoa; Chordata; Mammalia; Rodentia; Muridae
Description: long non-coding RNA chr2:119319533-119320374
Source: RNAcentral
GGGUAGGGGUCAGCCUGGCAAGGGUAGGGGCAGCCUGGCAAGGGUAGGGGGCAGCCUUGCAAGGGUAGGGGGCAGCCUGGCAAGGUUAAAGGUCAGCCUGGCAAGGGUAAGGGGCAGCCUGGCAAGGUUAAAGGUCAGCCUGGCAAGGGUAGGUGUCAGCCUGGCAAGAGUGGGGGCCAGCCUGGCAAGGUUAAAGGUCAGCCUGCAAGGGUAGGGGAUGAGCAGAUGCAGAGGCUUCUUUGGAAACCACAGGAUGAAGAAGUCAGGCCGACAGGGUGAGCUGCUCCCCUCCACCUGCCACAUUCUUCAGCCCAGAUGAUGGUCGGAGGCAAUGGCCAUUUGGACACUGAAGAGCACACGCCCAGCCUGACAUGUGCUUUCCGUUCAAGAUGCUUGUUUUCUUUUUCUUUCUUUUUUCUCUUUCUUUCUUUUUUUUUCUUUCUUUCUUUCUUUCUUUCUUUCUUUCUUUCUUUCUUUCUUUCUUUCUUUCUUUCUUCCUUCCUUUCUCUCUCUCUCUCUCUCUCUCUCUCUCUCUCUCUCUCUUUCUCUUUUCUUCUUCUUUUCUUUUUUGUUUUUGGAGACAGGGUUUCUCUGUGUAGCUUUGGCUGUCCUGUGUAGCUUUGGCUGUCCUGGAACUCACUCUGUUGACCAGUCUGGCUUGAACUCACAGAUCUGCCUGCCUCUGCCUCCCUAGGGCUGGGUUUAAAGGUGUGCGCUACCACACACACACAUGGCUAGGAUUUUUUUUUCCUUAGACAGGAUCUUACUAUAUAAACUUUGGUGGUCUGGAACUUCUGGACAUAGAACAGACUGACCUUGGACUCAGCUGCUUGUCUCUACC